This 73-nucleotide transfer RNA is filed under the name Felis catus (domestic cat). It matches the Rfam family "tRNA". Rfam says of the family: Transfer RNA (tRNA) molecules are approximately 80 nucleotides in length. Their secondary structure includes four short double-helical elements and three loops (D, anti-codon, and T loops). RNAcentral also lists the same sequence under 4 other names. Lineage: Eukaryota; Metazoa; Chordata; Mammalia; Carnivora; Felidae. The record is from Rfam by way of RNAcentral.
GCCUAGGUGGCUCAGUCAGUAGAGCAUGUGACUCCUAAUCUCAGGGUCCUGAGUUCAAGCCCCAAAUUGGGCA